Molecule: ribosomal RNA, 429 nt
Filed under: Chloroflexota bacterium
Lineage: Bacteria; Bacillati; Chloroflexota
Description: Chloroflexi bacterium partial 16S ribosomal RNA
Rfam family: Bacterial small subunit ribosomal RNA
Source: RNAcentral
UAGGGAAUCUUCGGCAAUGGACGAAAGUCUGACCGAGCAACGCCGCGUGAGUGAAGAAGGUUGUCGGAUCGUAAAACUCUGUUGUUAGAGAAGAACAAGGACGUUAGUAACUGAACGUCCCCUGACGGUAUCUAACCAGAAAGCCACGGCUAACUACGUGCCAGCAGCCGCGGUAAUACGUAGGUGGCAAGCGUUGUCCGGAUUUAUUGGGCGUAAAGCGAGCGCAGGCGGUUUCUUAAGUCUGAUGUGAAAGCCCCCGGCUCAACCGGGGAGGGUCAUUGGAAACUGGGAGACUUGAGUGCAGAAGAGGAGAGUGGAAUUCCAUGUGUAGCGGUGAAAUGCGUAGAUAUAUGGAGGAACGCCAGUGGCGAAGGCGGCUCUCUGGUCUGUAACUGACGCUGAGGCUCGAAAGCGUGGGGAGCAAACAGG